RNAcentral lists this long non-coding RNA (5884 nucleotides) under Manihot esculenta (cassava). Its description in RNAcentral is "long non-coding RNA (MESC_LNC002657)". Lineage: Eukaryota; Viridiplantae; Streptophyta; Magnoliopsida; Malpighiales; Euphorbiaceae. The record is from RNAcentral.
GCAACUUCCAAAUUGCACACGGAUUUGUUGGACUGAUGGAUCCAACAUCCUUUGCAAUCUACAGUGCCAUUAUAUAUUAAGCAUCGAUAGCAUUCUGUAAACAGAGAAUAUACACGGGCUAAGAUAUUCCUACAAUUACUGGAGGUAGCCCUUCUCUUUGCAGCAUUUGAUUGCUCCAUCGAACAUCUCAUCUAGCCCAUACUUGAAUUCAAAACCAGAGUCCAACAGUUUCUGUGAAGACAAUCCAGGGGUUCUAAUGCCCUUAAUAUCCUUCAGGGAUCUGUCAAGGAAGCAAAAUUAACAUUCUCAUCAUCUUCAUAUGCAGUAUUAAAGGAAGAAAAUGGGCAUAAAAAUAAGCAUUACUCACUCCACUUCUGGUAUUGGGAACUCUGAAUACUUUGCAGAAAGAAAUUUAGACAUCUCUUCAAUGGUGAUGGUGUGUGAAGAACAAAUGAAUCUCCCUUUUGCAUCAGGAUAUUCAAAGAGAAAUAUGUGUGCUCUUGCCACAUCAUCUGUGUGCACCAUUGAUACAUUGAGCAAAGCAGCAUAUUGCUCCCUCUCACCUAAAAGAUGUUAAUUUUAUCAAGUGAAGAAAGUUUCCAUGCAGGGUAUUCUUUAACCAUCCACCAAAUGAAGAUUUUGGAACUUACCCAGUAUCAUAGACAUUGCUGUGUGUACUGAACCAGGGAAUUUAGGACAAAUAAAGGGACCAACUAUAAAAGAAGGAAUUACUGUCACAAGAUCUAACCCAUGUUCUUCUGCGAAUUCAAGAGUUGUCUUCUCUGUUAAUGUCUUCGAAAUCAGGUAAGGACCAAAGGGAGACUUCAAGGACUUGAUGAAAUCCACAUCACUCCAAAAGCUCUCAUCCAUUGUGUCCACAGCCUUGUCGAUAAAUGCAACUGCUGAUGCACUGGAAGUGUACACAACCCUCUUCACUGUCUUGGAGUUCAAACAUGCUUUUAAGAUCCCUAAUGUUCCAUCGAUUGUUCUUCUGACAAUCACAUUCUCAGGUUCUUUGUUUUCGAAAUCUACUGGAGUAGCUACAUGAAAUACACCAAUGCAUCCUUUAAUCGCUGCUUCAAAACUUUCUGGGACACUCAGAUCAGCUUCGAAGAUUUGGAGUUUCUCCGACGCUCCUGGCAGGCUUGUCAAGAAGCUAACAUCCCUCUUGUGUUCUGAUCAUGUUAUCAAAUAUUCAAAAUUUAUAUGUAUAAACCUAUAAAUUAGGACUCGUUUAUUCGAAUGCGAUUUGAGAAGUAUCGAUGAUUCCAUUAAAAAAAAUAAUAAUAAUCUGAAAGAGGAGCCUUACCAGGGUGAGGUCUAAUAGUGGCGUGGACUGAAUAUCGAUGUUCGAGAAGCCUCAUGAUCAACCAUGAAGCAAGGAAUCCAGUACCUCCUGUAACACAUACUUUACCUUUAUCUGCUUCCAUCAAAAGCACUCGAGGAAGAUGAAACACACGGACAACUCGAUAUCUAAUCUUUUUAUAGCAGUAAUAUUUCUCUUUUGUCCAUUUAGUUUUUUAACACACAUUAAUUAAAAUAUUUUUAUUAAUUUUCUAAUUAUAUUUAUUUUAAAAUAUUAAAUUUUAUUAAAUAUUAAAAAAUUUUAAAUUUUUUAAUAUUAAAAUAUAAUUAAUUAAAAUUAUAAGUUAUAGUGUUUGAAAUUUAUUUUUAGUGUAAUAAAAUUUUUGGUAUUAAAAUAUUCACAUCUGUUUUUAAUUUAUAAUUUUAAAUUAGUUUAGUGAUGAAAUAAAAUAUUUUACUUUUAAAUUUAAAAUUAUAAAAUAGAACUUUUGAAAUCUAAAUUUCAAAAUAUAAAACAAAACACGAGAUUUAAGGUAAAUCUUUCAUCUUACUCUCCUUCAACGCACGCCAUAUAUUGCCAUUCAUGAAUUGUCGGUUAAAACAUUCACAUCAUAUUUACAAAAAUAAUUAUAGUUAUAUCUAAAUAAUUUACUUAAUCUUAAUAUUUUUAAAAUUCAAUAAAAAUAUUUUUAAAAUUCAAUAAAUAUAUUUUUAAAAUGAAUAUUAAUUUCAACUUUUUAAUUUUAAUAUUCUGAGAUGUAGAGAAUAGAAUUUUACGGUGUAUAUAAGUUUAGAUUGAAAGAAAAAUGUUUUUCUCUUUUUAUUUUUUUGACGUCUAACAACUUUUCUGCUAUAGGACUGUCUGUCUCUAUCACGUAGGUCCGUACAUCUAAAAGUGUGAGAGCCCUCUCCACGCCAAACGAUCAUUUAAUUUUCCCAACGCAUAUACAGACAGGACUACGAAGUGACUGGAUAAUAAUAAUAAUUUUUCAAAUAUACUACUUGGCAUGAAAAAAAAAAAAACACGCAAUAGCCUGCAUGACAAGUAAGGCAUCAGAUUGCAGCUGGACUUUCGUAAACCCUUCAAAUUUUAACUGUACCAAAGCCUCCCUAAUAGCAACAAUCUCUCCUGCACGGUGGACCAUGCAAGCUUGCCGAAAUUGUAAAUAAGAAAUGAGUGAUAUAUUAAUUAAAUUUAUGAUAAAUUUCAUAUUUAAAUUUAAAUAAAUAAUAUUUUAUUAAUUAAAUAUAUACCAUUAAUAAAUGUAAAUAAGAAAUUUAUAAAAAAAUGAAGAAAGAUUUUUUUAUAUAAAUUAUUUGAUAUUUAAAAUUGACUAGUUAUUAAUUUGAAUUCACAUGGCGUAUAUUUAUUAAAAAAAAUAUACUCUCUUUAAUAUUCAGAAUUCAAAUUUAAAACUUCUGAAUAAAGAAUAAGAGUGUUAUUCCACCAUACUCAGAAUUUAAAUUUCGAAACUUCUGGAUAAAGAAAAAGGCCGCGGUUCCAUCUUAUCCUUUAAAAUUUUCAAAGAUAGAAUUUAAUAAAAAAAUAAACUACACUGACUUAAAAAAUGUCAAAUCCUAGGUUUAUUUUAGUUUAUUUAAGUUAUUAAAUUUAUAAAAAAAAGGGUCAUGUUAAUUGUUAUCCAUUACAAUCGCAAACUUUAUAUAAUAUUUUAUUCAAAUUAUAAUAUAAAUCACUAUAAAAUAUAAAUUAAAAACAGUAAUUAAAUUUAUAUAUAAAUUAAACGUUAAAAUAAAUUAUUUAUCGUUUAAAAUACAUUUCGAAAUUUCAUAAUUAUUUUUUAGCUAUUUAAAGUAUAUUUUUAUAUUAAAUUACAAUAAAAAAUAUAUUUAAGAUUCAAACUACUAUAAUAUAAAUAUUUUUUAUUGAAAUAAUAUCAAUACUUGACAGAAAUAAAUUCAGGCAUAUUUUUUUAUAAUUAUGGUGGGUGAAAAAUAACUACAUACAAACUCGUAUAUCUCCUCAUGUGUUCAGAUUUAUAUAUAUAAUUAAUAAAUAAAUAAUAAAUAAGUCAAAUUCAUUACAUAUUUAAUUAAAUUUUAUUGGGCGACUACGUAUACACUAAAUGCCUAUAAUAAAUUUUUCGUAAGCGUGUUAUCUGCGUUUCCAUCACAUUCCAUGUAACCUUUUUUUUUUAUAAAUAUAUUCUAAUGGUGAUUGAUGCUUAGAUAGUAGCUCCUUGAGAACUUGUUCCAUUUCAGCCCUUAGUAGAAUGACUUCUUGCAAGUUCAGUCUCUCUCUCUUGAAGGAAAUAUAUAUAUAUAGAAGUUGUUUAGUUUAUAACACAUCGAUCAAUUUUUUCAGAAUGUACAAGCUCCGCUGCUGAUGUUUUAUUAGCUCAUGUCUGCCCAUUCUUUUUCAGGGCUUACUUCUGGUUUUUUAUACACUAUUUGAUUAAGCAGGCCCUUGUCUCUGCAGCACUGAAUAGCUCCACCAAACAUAUCUUCAAUACCAAACCCAAACUUGAACCCCAAGUCCAUGAGUUUCAUUGAUGAGAGAUUACAUAGUCUAGACUCUUCAAUCUCCUUCAAUUGACUGCAAAUCCCAAUUAAUCGUUAAAUCUUUUAAAAUUGAAGAGAACGAAAAUAGAGAAUCAACGCAAGACUACUCACUUCAUGGCCGGCAGUUGAAAUUCCUGCAGUUUUGCAGAAAGAAAUUGGACCAGUGCAGGAGUGGUCAUUUGAAGAUAGGAACAAAUGUACCUCCCUUUUGCAUUAGGAUCUUCAAGAAGAAAUAUAUGAGCACUGGCCGCAUCAUCGAUGUGCACCAAGUAGAAAUUAUUAAAAUCCUCAUACUCUAGAUUCCCUAUACAAUAAAACAAACUUGUCACAUAUUUUUAUGCUAAAUUUGGUGCAAUUAAGAAAGAAAUAAGAACUCAUUGAUUUUUUUUUCUUUUUGCUUACCAAAGAUCACAGCGAGAGCCAAGUAGACGGAGCUGGGUAUAUAAGGACAAAUGAAGGGUCCAACAACCAAAGGCAGAACUACAGUAAGAACUUGCAAAGGAAUUCAAGGCUUUAAUGUAAUCAACAUCACUCCAAAAACUUUCAUCCAUUACUUGUGCAGUCUUGUUAUUAAAAUCAACUGCAGAUGCACUAGAAGUAUAUACUACUCGCUUCACUGUCUUUGAGUUCAAACACACUCUUAAGAUUCCUAAUGUUCCAUCAAUUGCCUUACUGAUAACAACUUCCUCAGAUUCUCCGCUGUCGAAAUGAGUAGGCAUUGGGUUAGCAACAUGAAAGACUCCAAUACAUCCUUCAAUAGCAACAUCAAAACUAUCCGGAUCGCUAAGAUCUGCAUGGAAGAUUCGGAGCUUAUUGGUCGCUCCUGGUAGACUUGUUAGGAAGGAUACAUCUCUCUUCUGAUCUGUUCAGACAAAUGAUAAAGAUGACUGAACAUUCCCAUAUCCUAAAUUAUUAGAAAACUCAGGUUCUCAGCGAUAACAUGGAACUACUUCAAUUAAGAUUUUUCGAAGAAAUCAAACAUUAAUACAGGCACUUAUGGGACAUAAGCAAAGAUCAAGAACCCCAUAUGUUGGUGUUCAAGCUAGAAUAGACAAGUGCACUUGGAAAGAUUCCAGUAAGCGUGUAAAAGCCAGUCAUGUCUGUUACCUGGGUGGGAUCUAAUGGUGGUGUGAACAGAGUAACCAUAAUCAAGAAGCCUCAUGAUCAACCAUGAUGCUACAUAUCCAGUGCCACCUGUAACACAUACUGUGCCUUUAUCUCCUUCCAUCUCUCUCCUUUCCCCUGUUUAUCUGUCUUCCUCUUUCUCUGUGUGUGUGUGUGUGUGUGUGUGGAGGAGGAGGAUUUAUAUUAUCAGGAUAAGACAUGGAUUACAUAAUUAUUUUGAGUUUGACAUGGUCAGAACCUAGCAGUCUCACUUGCGGCUUUUCAUGGACAUCAGACAAUUUGGUCGGCCUGUAUGUAUUAUAUAUCCAACCAUCCCUUGACUUGCAUGCUUGUAUCUUGACUCACAUAUUUGUAUUUUGAGUACACGGUGAACUAAAUAUAGACAAAAAUUUGCCCUCCCUUUCAAUGGAAAAUUCACUUUUUGACCCUAAAUAAAAUGAUUUCUGUUUUAACAAUAUUACUUUAAUGAUCUUUCUCACGGAUGGGUAUUGAGGAUAGACUCUUGGAAGUGGAACAACUCAUGCAAAUGUCCUUAUUCUUGGAAUUUCCCCUCUUUGAACAUGUGAUCAAAGCAAUAUAUUAUUGUAAUAGCAACUUCCAAAUUGCACACGGAUUUGUUGGAUUGAUGGAUCCAACGUCCUUUGCAAUCUACAGUGCCAUUAUAUAUUAAGCAUCGAUAGCAUUCUGUAAACAGAGAAUAUACACGAACUAAGAUAUUCCUACAAUUACUGGAGGUAGCCCUUCUCUUUGCAGCAUUUGAUUGCUCCAUCGAACAUCUCAUCUAGCCCAUACUUGAAUUCAAAACCAGAGUCCAACAGUUUCUUUGAAGACAAUCCAGGGGUUCUAAUGCCCUUAAUAUCCUUCAGGGAUCUGUCAAGGAAGCAAAAUUAACAUUCUCAUCAUCUUCAUAUGCAGUAUUAAAGGAAGAAAA